RNAcentral lists this long non-coding RNA (384 nucleotides) under Capsicum annuum. RNAcentral describes it as "long non-coding RNA (CANN_LNC021140)". Lineage: Eukaryota; Viridiplantae; Streptophyta; Magnoliopsida; Solanales; Solanaceae. The record is from RNAcentral.
CCAACAAAACCUGUCCUAGUCUAAUUGGACCUUCGACCCAUUUCACCUGUCCUAAUCUAAUUAUCGAGCAUUUAGCUCGAAUCUUGCCUCCACCUGUGUUAAAUACAACCUUGGCUUCAUGGCCCGAACGAAUGAAUAAAAUAAAUAAACCAAUAAAAUAAAUAAAGACAACAAUAAUUAAACGCAAUGAAAUAAUAAAUGAAACUUUUGUCUCUUAGCCGCUUCAAGAAUGGGACUUUAACCCAUUUAUCCUUCUUUCGACUCCAUGCAUCAGUUCAUUACUUAACCAACUUCGGGCUUGACUCAACGGAUGGGCCUGAUUAGCCCAUUAGGGAAUGCAAAUAGGAAAGAGUCCUUUUGGACUCCGAGGCGGGUUCAUGCGAA